This 484-nucleotide ribosomal RNA is filed under the name uncultured bacterium. RNAcentral describes it as "partial 16S ribosomal RNA". It matches the Rfam family "Bacterial small subunit ribosomal RNA", at positions 30 to 507 of the family's 1533-position model. The record is from RNAcentral.
AUUGAACGCUGGCGGCAGGCCUAACACAUGCAAGUCGAGCGGAUGAAGGGAGCUUGCUCCUGGAUUCAGCGGCGGACGGGUGAGUAAUGCCUAGGAAUCUGCCUGGUAGUGGGGGAUAACGUCCGGAAACGGGCGCUAAUACCGCAUACGUCCUGAGGGAGAAAGUGGUGGAUCUUCGGACCUCACGCUAUCAGAUGAGCCUAGGUCGGAUUAGCUAGUUGGUGGGGUAAAGGCCUACCAAGGCGACGAUCCGUAACUGGUAUGAGAGGAUGAUCAGUCACACUGGAACUGAGACACGGUCCAGACUCCUACGGGAGGCAGCAGUGGGGAAUAUUGGACAAUGGGCGAAAGCCUGAUACAGCCAUGCCGCGUGUGUGAAGAAGGUCUUCGGAUUGUAAAGCACUUUAAGUUGGGAGGAAGGGCAGUAAGUUAAUACCUUGCUGUUUUGACGUUACCAACAGAAUAAGCACCGGCUAACUUCGUG